Molecule: ribosomal RNA, 405 nt
Filed under: Candidatus Altarchaeales archaeon
Lineage: Archaea; Nanobdellati; Candidatus Altarchaeota; Candidatus Altarchaeia; Candidatus Altarchaeales
Description: bacterial SSU rRNA
Rfam family: Bacterial small subunit ribosomal RNA
Source: RNAcentral
CUCUAGAGGGACUGCCGGUGUUAAACCGGAGGAAGGUGGGGAUGACGUCAAGUCCUCAUGGCCCUUAUGUCCAGGGCUACACACGUGCUACAAUGGACCGUACAAAGGGCUGCUAACCUGCGAAGGCAUGCAAAUCCCAAAAAACGGUCCUCAGUUCGGAUUGGAGUCUGCAACUCGACUCCAUGAAGCUGGAAUCGCUAGUAAUCGCGGAUCAGCAUGCCGCGGUGAAUACGUUCCCGGGCCUUGUACACACCGCCCGUCACACCACGAAAGCUGACUGCACCAGAAGUCGUUGGGCUAACCCUCGGGAGGCAGGCGCCGAAGGUGUGGUUGGUAAUUGGGGUGAAGUCGUAACAAGGUAGCCGUAGGGGAACCUGCGGCUGGAUCACCUCCUUUCUAAGGUGA